RNAcentral lists this unclassified non-coding RNA (470 nucleotides) under Hevea brasiliensis (rubber tree). Lineage: Eukaryota; Viridiplantae; Streptophyta; Magnoliopsida; Malpighiales; Euphorbiaceae. The record is from RNAcentral.
GGACAGCCUUGUCUUCCAGUCGGUCAGUCUGAUAUUCCACGUUCAAGUACUGUAAAAAUUUACUGUCCCAAAUGUGAAGAUAUCUACUAUCCACGAUCGAAGUACCAAGGCAAUAUUGAUGGAGCUUACUUCGGGACAACAUUUCCUCACCUCUUUUUGAUGACUUAUGGACACCUGAAGCCGCAAAAGCCAACACAGAAUUAUGUUCCACGGGUAUUCGGUUUUAAGAUCCACAGGACUUGAGAUUGAAGGUGCUCUGUGAAAUGUGAUGAGAUUAAAUAGUUUCCAGUGAAUGGUUCUCACCUGACAUUUAUGUACAAUUUAUCAAGGUAGAACCAGGAAAUGUUGAGUUGUUAAUGUUCAAAAUUGUUUCAUUCAUGAAAAAAGUAACUGUUGCCAGCCAAUCUACCCCCUUAAAUUUCUUUUGUAAUCUUAUUAUUUCUUCUUCCACUUCUAUUGACACCUGAUUU